GAUGAAGAACGUAGCGAAAUGCGAUACGUAGCGUGAAUUGCAGAAUUCAGUGAAUCAUCGAAUCUUUGAACGCACAUUGCACCUCUCGGUAUUCCGGGAGGUAUGCCUGUUCGAGCGUCAUUUGUACCCUCAAGCUCUGCUUGGUGUUGGGUGUUUGUUCCGCCUCUGUGUGUGAACUCGCCUCAAAACAAUUGGCAGCCGGCGUACUUGUUUCGGAGCGCAGCACAUUUUGCGAUCCAGAUCAACGUACAGCGGCAUCCAAGAAGCCUUAUUUAACGCUCUUGACCUCGGAUCAGGUAGGGAUACCCGCUGAACUUAAGCAUAUCAAUAAGCGGAGGA
Molecule: unclassified non-coding RNA, 339 nt
Filed under: soil metagenome
Description: partial contains 5.8S ribosomal RNA, internal transcribed spacer 2, and large subunit ribosomal RNA
Rfam family: 5.8S ribosomal RNA (bases 1-120)
Source: RNAcentral